Molecule: transfer RNA, 76 nt
Filed under: Paracoccaceae bacterium
Lineage: Bacteria; Pseudomonadati; Pseudomonadota; Alphaproteobacteria; Rhodobacterales; Paracoccaceae
Also listed under: 1 other name
Description: Rhodobacteraceae bacterium tRNA-Ala
Rfam family: tRNA
About the family: Transfer RNA (tRNA) molecules are approximately 80 nucleotides in length. Their secondary structure includes four short double-helical elements and three loops (D, anti-codon, and T loops). Further hydrogen bonds mediate the characteristic L-shaped molecular structure. tRNAs have two regions of fundamental functional importance: the anti-codon, which is responsible for specific mRNA codon recognition, and the 3' end, to which the tRNAs corresponding amino acid is attached (by aminoacyl-tRNA synthetases). tRNAs cope with the degeneracy of the genetic code in two manners: having more than one tRNA (with a specific anti-codon) for a particular amino acid; and 'wobble' base-pairing, i.e. permitting non-standard base-pairing at the 3rd anti-codon position.
Source: RNAcentral
GGGGCCUUAGCUCAGCUGGUAGAGCGCCUCGCUGGCAGCGAGGAGGUCAGGGGUUCGACUCCCCUAGGCUCCACCA